CCCCCCCCCCCCCCCCCAUUUUUAUUAGGGUUGUUCUGGAAUAUUAAGUCUGCAUACAGCAACUGCAGAUUUUCCUCCUCACUGAUACUUUGUUUUAUACGGAAUAUAUUUUUACAUCAUUUAAAAAUAUUGCUCUCUACAAAACACUUUUAUACUCUAUUUUUCAUUUGCAUUCCAAAUAAUUGCUGUAGGGUUUUCUUAUUCUUAGCAAAAGGAGAUGGAUCCCCAGAUGUAUUUUCCUUUGUUUUUCUUUCUUCCUUCUCCCCUGUGUAAAUACUCUUAUAAAAGUAGAUUUAACAAAAGACCAUUUGCUAUAAAAAACUUCCUCAGCAGUGACAUGAUACACCACACACCCACUUGUGUAGUCUUUAUCAAUAACAACAGAAACAGUGUCAAGUGAUAAAAAUAUAUGUGAUUUAAAUCAGCCGUUUUGGGAGUAUAUUUAUUCAAGACCCUUCCAGAGGAGAUGAAUAGCAGGUUUCUAAAUGUGAUGUUUUGAGGGUAAGCAAAUGAGUCAUUAUUUGUAUUCUAGAGCAAUAGAGCUGGGCAAGAACAACGCUGCAAGAGGGAGUAAGCAAUCGUAUCUAACUGUUUAUUCUAUUACAUUCAUCACCACAGGGUGCAUCUGUGCGUGUGAGGUCAAGGUCACUGAUCCUUGUUCACAUGAAUCAUUCUCAGCGCUCAUGAAAAACACCCCUGAGAACAUCCCAGCGUGUUGGAGCACCAAUAGCUUCGGCAGGCUCCUGCCACUCCUGAGUCACCUCUGCCAGCCAGAACUCACAGGGAAGGUGCUGUAG
Molecule: long non-coding RNA, 797 nt
Filed under: Ficedula albicollis (Collared flycatcher)
Lineage: Eukaryota; Metazoa; Chordata; Aves; Passeriformes; Muscicapidae
Description: lncRNA (ENSFALG00000023500.1)
Source: RNAcentral